RNAcentral lists this ribosomal RNA (395 nucleotides) under uncultured bacterium. RNAcentral's name for it is "bacterial SSU rRNA". It matches the Rfam family "Bacterial small subunit ribosomal RNA", at positions 359 to 758 of the family's 1533-position model. The record is from RNAcentral.
AGCGUGGGGGCAGCCCUGACCGCGAUGCCGCGUGAGUGAAGAAGGCCUUCGGGUUGUAAAGCUCUUUUGUCAGGGAAGAAACACCGGCUCUAACACAGUCCGGGAAUGACGGUACCUGAAGAAUAAGCACCGGCUAACUACGUGCCAGCAGCCGCGGUAAUACGUAGGGUGCAAGCGUUAAUCGGAAUUACUGGGCGUAAAGCGUGCGCAGGCGGUUAUACAAGACAGGCGUGAAAUCCCCGGGCUUAACCUGGGAAUGGCGCCUGUGACUGUAUAGCUAGAGUGUGUCAGAGGGGGGUGGAAUUCCACGUGUAGCAGUGAAGUGCGUAGAUAUGUGGAGGAAUACCAAUGGCGAAGGCAGCCCCCUGGGAUAACACUGACGCUCAUGCACGAAA